RNAcentral lists this long non-coding RNA (249 nucleotides) under Elaeis guineensis (African oil palm). RNAcentral's name for it is "long non-coding RNA (EGUI_LNC081552)". Lineage: Eukaryota; Viridiplantae; Streptophyta; Magnoliopsida; Arecales; Arecaceae. The record is from RNAcentral.
UCCUAAAGGGAGGUGAUCCAUGCACCAAUCUCGAAUGGAUUGAUCACUAUCCUCUGUGACGAUCCUUCGAUUGGGAGCAUUUAGAAAUUAACCACUAAUGAUAUAUGUCUCAAAUUCUCAAUAUCUUGAGAAUAUACAUAAUCAUCUUUAUUAAUUUCUUGGACAAAUCAUGGAUAAAUAAACAUAAUUAGUUAUUAAGACUGCCCAACGAGUACAAAACAUGCCUUAGAGAAAUGAAUAUGUCAGUCA